AAUCCGCCAACUUGCUCUCCCAGGUCCAAACAACUCAUCCAAGGUAUUACGAAGCACUCGGAAUAAUUAACGGACCUCACCAUCUCGUCCACUACCAUACUUCGGUUAAUUCGACUGAAGUUCGGUUCGACCUAGUUUCGGUAUAUUACAAUAAUGAAUCAACUUUUAAUUUCUCCUUAUCUCUAAAAUAGAAAAAAAAUAUACUUAUCCAAAUUUUUGCCAACCGAAAUAUAUCUACUAUGAAUCUAUAUUUUAAUUCAAAAUUUGUUUAAUUUCUUUUAUCUCUAAAAUAGAAAAAAUUCAUGCUUAUCCAAAUAUUUGCCAGAAUACCUACUUUAAAUCUAUAUUUCAAUUCAAAAUUUAAAAUUAAUUUAAAACUUUAAAUUUUGGGACUAUCAAUAUAUUACAAUGAAAAUAAUUUAAAAGAUAGAUUGGUUGAUAAAUUUGUAAAUCAUAUUUUUGAAUUAAUAUGAUGUACAAAUUUAUGAUCAAUUUGUAAAAAAUUAUUUCAAAUAAGAAUGAACGGUAAUGAUCAAUUUGUUAAAAAAAAUAUUUAUACCCAUCUACAAAUUCAAUUCUACGAACGGUUAUGAUAAAUUGGUUAAAAAUAUUUGAAAUAAAAAUAAACGGUUAUGAUUAAUCUGUUAAAAAAUAGCACUUUUAUCCAACUAUUUUACAUUAAAACUUAAAUUUGAGUUUAAAUCGUAAAUUAAAAUUAAUUUUUGAUUUUUGAUAUUAAAAUUGAAUUAACAAUUAAAAAAUUUAAAUUAUAUAAUGGAUCAAAAUUAAAUUUUAAAUUUUGAAAUAAAUAUCAAUUAAAUUUUGAUGCUUUUAGUUUAAAACACUUGCUUAAAUUUUAAAUUUUUUAGAAAUCAAAAAAUAUAUAAAAAAUAUUUAAUGCAUAUAAGAAAACAAUAUAGGAAAUUGUAGAUAUUUUCUAAUAAAAUAUAACAUAUAAAUUUACAAAAUAUUUUAUUCUAAAUUUUUGAAUAAAUACGAUUUACAAAUUUUUAUUGAUUUAAAAUAAAUUAAAAUAAUUGUUACGUGAAUUUGCACAUACACUCAACUAGUAUAUAUAUAUAUAUAGAGAGAGAGAGAGAGAG
This 1103-nucleotide long non-coding RNA is filed under the name Ananas comosus (pineapple). RNAcentral's name for it is "long non-coding RNA (ACOM_LNC022247)". The record is from RNAcentral. Lineage: Eukaryota; Viridiplantae; Streptophyta; Magnoliopsida; Poales; Bromeliaceae.